AGGCAACUAGUUUAAUUAAAACUCUUGAUUUCGGCUCAAGCACUUGUGGUUUAAACCCGCAGUCGUCUA
RNAcentral lists this transfer RNA (69 nucleotides) under Chascanopsetta lugubris (pelican flounder). RNAcentral's name for it is "tRNA-Arg". It matches the Rfam family "tRNA". Rfam says of the family: Transfer RNA (tRNA) molecules are approximately 80 nucleotides in length. Their secondary structure includes four short double-helical elements and three loops (D, anti-codon, and T loops). The record is from RNAcentral. Lineage: Eukaryota; Metazoa; Chordata; Actinopteri; Pleuronectiformes; Bothidae.